AGGCAGCAACCAUUUGAUUUUCUGGGGGGGGCUAUGGAUUUUUUUCUGGACAAACUUUUUUUUUCGCCUGUGGCGAAAACAAUCUAUUUUUUUCGCGACAAGUCGAAAACCAUUUUUUUCUUUCAAUUUUAGCAUUACAUAUAGUGGCAGCUGAGGGGGAAACAAACAAUUUUUUUUUCUCAGAAUCAAAAACAAAUUAUUUUUUUCUCCAAAAACUGGAAACAAACUUUUUUUUCCAAAAAAAUCCCUAGCCCCCCCCCCCCC
RNAcentral lists this long non-coding RNA (264 nucleotides) under Mytilus galloprovincialis (Mediterranean mussel). The record is from RNAcentral. Lineage: Eukaryota; Metazoa; Mollusca; Bivalvia; Mytilida; Mytilidae.